RNAcentral lists this long non-coding RNA (918 nucleotides) under Nicotiana benthamiana. RNAcentral describes it as "long non-coding RNA (NBEN_LNC018538)". The record is from RNAcentral. Lineage: Eukaryota; Viridiplantae; Streptophyta; Magnoliopsida; Solanales; Solanaceae.
AUAUACAUCUUGUUUGCCUGGCUGUGAAAACACUGCAAAAGCUUCUGGAUUAUAGUAAUGCAGCAGUAACCCUUUUCAAAGAUUUGGGUGGAGUUGAGCUUUUGGCUAAUAGGUUACAGAUAGAAGUGCACAGAGUGAUUGACAUGGCUGGAGAUGAUGACAAUUCUAUGAUCAUUGGUGAGCAUUUUAAAUCUAGUGAUGAACAAUCAUAUUCUCAAAAGAGACUUAUUAGGGUUUUGUUGAAGGCACUAUAGAGCUUUUGGCAAAUAGGUUACAGAUAGAAGUGCACAGAGUGAUUGACAUGGCUGGAGAUGAUGACAAUUCUAUGAUCAUUGGUGAGCAUUUUAUACCUAGUGAUGAACGAUCAUAUUCUCAAAAGAGACUUAUUAGGGUCUUGUUGAAGGUACUUGGGUCUGCUACCUAUGCUCCUGCAAAUUCGGCCAGAUCGCAGAGUUCUAACGAUGCAUCUUUACCUGCCACUUUGUGUCUGAUAUUUAGUAAUGUGGAAAGAUUUGGAGGUGAUAUUUAUUCCUCGGCGGUUACUGUUAUGAGUGAAAUAAUUCACAAAGACCCCACAUGUUUCCCUGCUUUGCAUGAGUUGGGUCUUCCUAAUGCUUUUUUGUCCUCAGUGGUGUCUGGAAUACUACCUUCUCCAAAAGCUCUUACUUGUGUACCUAAUGGUCUUGGUGCAAUUUGCCUUAAUGGGAAGGGACUGGAAUCAGUGAAGGAAACUUCAGCGUUGCGUUUCCUUAUUGUGUACCUUAUGGUCUUGGUGCAAUUUGCCUUAAUGGGAAGGGACUGGAAUCUGUGAAGGAAACUUCAGCAUUGCGUUUCCUUGUUGACAUAUUUACCGACAAGAAAUACGUGGUAGCUAUGAAUGAAGGUAUUGUCCCUUUGGCAAAUGCUGUGGACGAGCUG